GAUGAAGAACGCAGCGAAAUGCGAUAAGUAGUGUGAAUUGCAGAAUUCAGUGAAUCAUCGAAUCUUUGAACGCACAUUGCGCCCCUUGGUAUUCCAUGGGGCAUGCCUGUUCGUGCGUCAUUUGUACCUUCAAGCUUUGCUUGGUGUUGGGUGUUUGUCUCGCCUUUGCGUGUAGACUCGCCUUAAAAUAAUUGGCAGCCGGCGUAUUGAUUUCGGAGCGCAGUACAUCUCGCGCUUUGCACUCAUAACGACAGCGUCCAAAAGUACAUUUUACACUCUUGACCUCGGAUCAGGUAGGGAUACCCGCUGAACUUAAGCAUAUCAAUAAGCGGAGGA
This 336-nucleotide unclassified non-coding RNA is filed under the name soil metagenome. RNAcentral's name for it is "partial contains 5.8S ribosomal RNA, internal transcribed spacer 2, and large subunit ribosomal RNA". The stretch from base 1 to 120 matches the Rfam family "5.8S ribosomal RNA", at positions 35 to 154 of the family's 154-position model. The record is from RNAcentral.